UACCAGCUCUCCGAGUGGUAGGGAUGAUUAUUGGGCUUAAAGCGUCCGUAGCCGGCUUAGCAAGUCUCCUGUUAAAUUCAGCGACCUAAUCGUUGAGCCGCGGGAGAUACUACUAGGCUAGGAGGCGGGAGAGGUCAACGGUACUUCCGGAGUAGGGGUGAAAUCCUAUAAUCCCGGGAGGACCACCAGUGGCGAAGGCUGUUGACUAGAACGCGCUCGACGGUGAGGGACGAAAGCUGGGGGAGCGAACCGGAUUAGAUACCCGGGUAGUCCCAGCUGUAAACGAUGCGAGCUAGGUGUUGGGGUGGCUACGUGCCACUUCAGUGCCGCAGGGAAGCCAUUAAGCUCGCCGCCUGGGGAUACGGCCGCAAGGCCGAAACUUAAAGGAAUUGGGCGGGGGAGCACCACAAGGCGUGAAGCUUGCGGUUC
This 429-nucleotide ribosomal RNA is filed under the name uncultured archaeon. RNAcentral describes it as "bacterial SSU rRNA". It matches the Rfam family "Archaeal small subunit ribosomal RNA", at positions 474 to 903 of the family's 1478-position model. The record is from RNAcentral.